GCUGUCAGCAUUGUAUACUGCUAUUAGCGGCGGAGGGUGAGUAACACGUGGGUAACCUGCCUGUAAGACUGGGAUAACUCCGGGAAACCGGGGCUAAUACCGGAUGGUUGUUUGAACCGCAUGGUUCAAACAUAAAAGGUGGCUUCGGCUACCACUUACAGAUGGACCCGCGGCGCAUUAGCUAGUUGGUGAGGUAACGGCUCACCAAGGCAACGAUGCGUAGCCGACCUGAGAGGGUGAUCGGCCACACUGGGACUGAGACACGGCCCAGACUCCUACGGGAGGCAGCAGUAGGGAAUCUUCCGCAAUGGACGAAAGUCUGACGGAGCAACGCCGCGUGAGUGAUGAAGGUUUUCGGAUCGUAAAGCUCUGUUGUUAGGGAAGAACAAGUACCGUUCGAAUAGGGCGGUACCUUGACGGUACCUAACCAGAAAGCCACGGCUAACUACGUGCCAGCAGCCGCGGUAAUACGUAGGUGGCAAGCGUUGUCCGGAAUUAUUGGGCGUAAAGGGCUCGCAGGCGGUUUCUUAAGUCUGAUGUGAAAGCCCCCGGCUCAACCGGGGAGGGUCAUUGGAAACUGGGGAACUUGAGUGCAGAAGAGGAGAGUGGAAUUCCACGUGUAGCGGUGAAAUGCGUAGAGAUGUGGAGGAACACCAGUGGCGAAGGCGACUCUCUGGUCUGUAACUGACGCUGAGGAGCGAAAGCGUGGGGAGCGAACAGGAUUAGAUACCCUGGUAGUCCACGCCGUAAACGAUGAGUGCUAAGUGUUAGGGGGUUUCCGCCCCUUAGUGCUGCAGCUAACGCAUUAAGCACUCCGCCUGGGGAGUACGGUCGCAAGACUGAAACUCAAAGGAAUUGACGGGGGCCCGCACAAGCGGUGGAGCAUGUGGUUUAAUUCGAAGCAACGCGAAGAACCUUACCAGGUCUUGACAUCCUCUGACAAUCCUAGAGAUAGGACGUCCCCUUCGGGGGCAGAGUGACAGGUGGUGCAUGGUUGUCGUCAGCUCGUGUCGUGAGAUGUUGGGUUAAGUCCCGCAACGAGCGCAACCCUUGAUCUUAGUUGCCAGCAUUCAGUUGGGCACUCUAAGGUGACUGCCGGUGACAAACCGGAGGAAGGUGGGGAUGACGUCAAAUCAUCAUGCCCCUUAUGACCUGGGCUACACACGUGCUACAAUGGACAGAACAAAGGGCAGCGAAACCGCGAGGUUAAGCCAAUCCCACAAAAUCUGUUCUCAGUUCGGAUCCAAUUCUGCGAUUCGACUGCGUUUAGCUGUGUUCGCUUAUUCUUCGCGAUUCCGCUGGCGUAACCU
Molecule: ribosomal RNA, 1310 nt
Filed under: Bacillus subtilis
Lineage: Bacteria; Bacillati; Bacillota; Bacilli; Caryophanales; Bacillaceae
Description: bacterial SSU rRNA
Rfam family: Bacterial small subunit ribosomal RNA
Source: RNAcentral